AAAGCGCGCGUAGGUGGUUCGUUAAGUUGGAUGUGAAAUCCCCGGGCUCAACCUGGGAACUGCAUUCAAAACUGUCGAGCUAGAGUAUGGUAGAGGGUGGUGGAAUUUCCUGUGUAGCGGUGAAAUGCGUAGAUAUAGGAAGGAACACCAGUGGCGAAGGCGACCACCUGGACUGAUACUGACACUGAGGUGCGAAAGCGUGGGGAGCAAACAGGAUUAGAUACCCGAGU
RNAcentral lists this ribosomal RNA (230 nucleotides) under uncultured bacterium. RNAcentral describes it as "partial 16S ribosomal RNA". It matches the Rfam family "Bacterial small subunit ribosomal RNA", at positions 562 to 791 of the family's 1533-position model. The record is from RNAcentral.